Molecule: ribosomal RNA, 253 nt
Filed under: uncultured bacterium
Lineage: Bacteria
Description: partial 16S ribosomal RNA
Rfam family: Bacterial small subunit ribosomal RNA
Source: RNAcentral
UACAGAGGUCUCAAGCGUUGUUCGGAUUCAUUGGGCGUAAAGGGUGCGUAGGUGGUGAUGCAAGUCUGGUGUGAAAUCUCGGAGCUCAACUCCGAAAUUGCACCGGAUACUGCGUGACUCGAGGACUGUAGAGGAGAUUGGAAUUCACGGUGUAGCAGUGAAAUGCGUAGAUAUCGUGAGGAAGACCAGUUGCGAAGGCGGAUCUCUGGGCAGUUCCUGACACUGAGGCACGAAGGCCAGGGGAGCAAACGGG